Molecule: non-coding RNA, 1054 nt
Organism: Equus caballus (horse)
Lineage: Eukaryota; Metazoa; Chordata; Mammalia; Perissodactyla; Equidae
Source: RefSeq, a predicted model, not a curated record
CGAGGAUGCACUUCCGUAAUUGGCCCAGCCUUGGGUCACGUGAUUCCAGGUGGGUGGGGAUUCUUCUGUGAUUGACAGCCCCACCACCUGCAGCGGCAAGAUAGCGGUUGCCCCCAAGGAAAGGGCACUGAAGGCCAAAAACGUCCACCCCUGGGUCCCUGUGAAAAGCUGGUCGUGCCUGCUCCUGCACUGCUGACCCAAAAGUGAACUUGGACUCCAAGUGGGCGCUCAGCAAACGUGUGUGGGACAAGACAGGACAUUCCCUGUACAGUACCCCGUAUGCUCGGGCCACAGAGCCAGCAUUGAAACUCCUGGGCAUUCAAGUCUGCCACGUUCCACCCAGCGGGAAAAAUUCAGAGCUGACAUUAAUUCAGGCCCCACAUACAUGAUUCUUACUGAGUAAGACAUCAAGACAAUCUCGCCCUUUGUCGGAACUGUGGGAGUCUGACUUAUGCGUCGAGAGAAGCCAGUCUAAAAUCAGUCGCUUUUUGAAACCAUCGGCUUAAGAAAUUAAGGAUUCUGUCAGCGUGCCCUGAAUUCUGGGCCCAGCAAUUAAUUCCUCCUAGAUUAAAGGAUUGUUGUGUUUCUGAUACAUUAUUAUGCGGAGUGGGCUUGCUGUGAAUUUUAAAACUUUAACCAGAAUCCUCAUUAACUGGGAUCUUUUAUCUGUGUGCAACUCGUAGAAGAGGCCAGUGGCUAGAAAGUGAGCUGAUGCAUCCAAAAGAAACAGCAUUCCAGAGGGCGUCCUAAUGCACAUUCGUCCAGGCAGCUGUCCUCCUCCUGAUGGUAACAGGGCCAUUUACUCACAACGCGCCAGGCUCAGGCUGGACAUUGGACAUCACCCUGCUGAAUUCUCGCCCGCCCUAUCAGCUGGCCACAGUUAUUAUUAUCUCCAGUUUACAGGCGAGGGGACUGCGGCUGGCGAAGGGAGGUGAAGAGCCCUGCUCAGGCCAGUGGGUGGCCCAGGUCUAUGCGACCUCCUGGCCCCAUGCUUGACCCCACCUUUCCCUGCACCCCCUUCUCCCUGGACAACAAUAAAGAUCGCUGUGCAGGA